AGCAGAGUGGCGCAGCGGAAGCGUGCUGGGGCCCAGAACCCAGAGGUCGAUUGGAUCGAAACCAUCCUCUCCUA
RNAcentral lists this transfer RNA (74 nucleotides) under Merluccius polli (Benguela hake). RNAcentral describes it as "tRNA-Leu". Lineage: Eukaryota; Metazoa; Chordata; Actinopteri; Gadiformes; Merlucciidae. The record is from RNAcentral.